This 60-nucleotide transfer RNA is filed under the name Eutreptiella gymnastica. The record is from RNAcentral. Lineage: Eukaryota; Euglenozoa; Euglenophyceae; Eutreptiales; Eutreptiaceae.
UGGUCCAGUGGAUAUGCAGUGAUCUACAGAUCUGCAAGUGUAGGUUCGAUCCCCUCUGUC